RNAcentral lists this ribosomal RNA (253 nucleotides) under uncultured bacterium. RNAcentral's name for it is "partial 16S ribosomal RNA". It matches the Rfam family "Bacterial small subunit ribosomal RNA", at positions 524 to 776 of the family's 1533-position model. The record is from RNAcentral.
UACGUAGGGUGCAAGCGUUAAUCGGAAUUACUGGGCGUAAAGCGUGCGCAGGCGGUUAUAUAAGACAGAUGUGAAAUCCCCGGGCUCAACCUGGGAACUGCAUUUGUGACUGUAUAGCUAGAGUACGGUAGAGGGGGAUGGAAUUCCGCGUGUAGCAGUGAAAUGCGUAGAUAUGCGGAGGAACACCGAUGGCGAAGGCAAUCCCCUGGGCCUGCACUGACGCUCAUGCACGAAAGCGUGGGGAGCAAACAGG